This 247-nucleotide ribosomal RNA is filed under the name Klebsiella pneumoniae. Its description in RNAcentral is "partial 23S ribosomal RNA". It matches the Rfam family "Bacterial large subunit ribosomal RNA", at positions 2696 to 2925 of the family's 2925-position model. The record is from RNAcentral. Lineage: Bacteria; Pseudomonadati; Pseudomonadota; Gammaproteobacteria; Enterobacterales; Enterobacteriaceae. RNAcentral also lists the same sequence under 3 other names.
AGUGGACGCAUCACUGGUGUUCGGGUUGUCAUGCCAAUGGCACUGCCCGGUAGCUAAAUGCGGAAGAGAUAAGUGCUGAAAGCAUCUAAGCACGAAACUUGCCCCGAGAUGAGUUCUCCCUGAGACUUUAAGUCUCCUGAAGGAACGUUGAAGACGACGACGUUGAUAGGCCGGGUGUGUAAGCGCAGCGAUGCGUUGAGCUAACCGGUACUAAUGAACCGUGAGGCUUAACCUUACAACGCCGAAG